AAGUCGUAACAAGGUAACCGUAGGUGAACCUGCGGUUGGAUCAUUAAAAAAAUGUUUAAAAAAACAGCCUCGCGCCGAAAUCGUCUUUUGCCCCAAAGCGAACGAUGACGAAGCGCACGUUGGCCCACAUUUUUGUGCACCGUUCCGUCUUUGGUGGUGGGGUGAGCAGCUUCCUUUGGGCCGCCCUCGCCUGUCAGCUCGGACCUGCAACGGGUCCGGAGUCGUGGACAAGCCACCGCCCUUUUCUUCAAAACCUUUGCUUUGCUUUUUUUUUCCUGUCUGACACUUUUUAUUUUGUAUGAAUGUACAAACAACUUUUGGCAACGGAUCUCUUGGGUCUC
Molecule: unclassified non-coding RNA, 341 nt
Filed under: Spizellomyces sp.
Lineage: Eukaryota; Fungi; Chytridiomycota; Chytridiomycetes; Spizellomycetales; Spizellomycetaceae
Description: partial internal transcribed spacer region
Rfam family: Eukaryotic small subunit ribosomal RNA (bases 1-46)
Source: RNAcentral